Molecule: long non-coding RNA, 1478 nt
Organism: Lepisosteus oculatus (spotted gar)
Lineage: Eukaryota; Metazoa; Chordata; Actinopteri; Semionotiformes; Lepisosteidae
Source: RefSeq, a predicted model, not a curated record
AUCACCCAGGUAUUUAAAAAAUAAAUCUCAUUCACCAGGUGUAAUACCAGUGUCAAGAACAAUUCUUUCCGGGCCCUAUACAGACAACACGAUCCGGUUGGUGAGGACACAGUAGGGAGAAAAUCAUGCAGGAGAAGAGGCUGGAGACAGGGGGGCGUGUCCAAGGCAAGCAGGCGUCUGGGGGAAGUGACGAACAAUCAAGGACGAAAUCUAAAACAGAAGAGUAGUCCAAUGCCAGACGAUCCACUCGAAGGACUUAAAAACAAGGAGCCUGGAUAGUAUGAGACAUGUUAGAGGACUGAAGGAACAAGAGAAGACAGUGAGAGAAACAAGCAGCAAAGUGCAGGUUUCAUUAAUUUUCACUGGAAGGUGUAUCUACAGUGAAAAGAAGAAACAAGACGUUCUUUAAUGUCAUCGAAAGAUUUUAGAAACUUGAAUUACAGUAUUGUCAAAAUGUUACUGACCACUCUGUAACAUAAAUAUGUUCUUGUGGAGGUACCACAGUUCCUCUGUCUCUCCAAGGCUCACCCUGCGUUCACCCUGCACAAGGGCAUCCACAAAGAAAUGUUGCUCUGCAUCUCUUCAACUACAUUUUGACUAAAAAAUUUAAGAUUAAACAAAGUUAACUGUAACAUCAUUGUGAUACAUACAGUAUGUUCUUGUUAAAGGCCCACUUGGGCUGGGAUCAAAGUUAGAUGAAUAUGCUAAAAUAUUUCUAUCCUAAGUACAGACUUCAUUGUAAUUUAUUUUCGCGCUUAUCUGAAACACUGGUCCACGAAAAACAAAAUGGCAAAUUUAAAGGAAGUCAUCAUUCUUGCACUGUUAAAGGCGACAUUCACCUUGGAAGAGGGCAUCAGGUAAAUGAAUAAAUAAUAAAUAGCCACAUCGGCUACACGGCGUUUCUAUGGCAACUGUUUUUUCAAAUCAAUCCCAAGACAAAUACUAUAAUAUGUUAACUAUAUAUUAACUGUCUUGCAAAAGUAUUUAUCAUUUACCAAUGUUUUUCUUAAUACUAAAUACUGUAUUCGUAUUUUUAAUACAUUAUGCUUAAUCAAAAGUUGAAUUCUUAAACUGAACAUUUAUUAUCUGUAAAACAAAGCAGAAAUUAAAAUCUGUUGAUUGCAUUAUUAAUAUUCUAUUAACUCCAUUUGCUCCUUCUCAAUUAGCUAAGGUGCACUGAAUUAAGGUUAAAAAAGUGGAAGGUGUAUUGUAGCACCUAAACACUGCUUAGAAUAGGUUGUGGCUCCAAACUGAGCAGCCAGGCAGGUUGAAAGUUUUUGUUUUUGAUUACAUUUUUCACUUUAAAAUGCGUAUACUGUACAUCAUCUGCAUUUUGCAAGACACUGUACCCAAAGUAACUGUAACAAAAUAGAACUAUAUCUGAUAAAGUUGUGCAUGAAGAAACAAAGUCUUCAUAUCACUUUGAAUUAUUGCCAUCUCUAUAUGUAUUAGUAAAUAUGUUUAUGUUUUAUAUAUAA